Molecule: ribosomal RNA, 547 nt
Filed under: Bifidobacterium adolescentis
Lineage: Bacteria; Bacillati; Actinomycetota; Actinomycetes; Bifidobacteriales; Bifidobacteriaceae
Description: bacterial SSU rRNA
Rfam family: Bacterial small subunit ribosomal RNA
Source: RNAcentral
UCUCCUGGGAAAAAGGGUGGUAAUGCCGGAUGCUCCAGUUGGAUGCAUGUCCUUCUGGGAAAGAUUCAUCGGUAUGGGAUGGGGUCGCGUCCUAUCAGCUUGAUGGCGGGGUAACGGCCCACCAUGGCUUCGACGGGUAGCCGGCCUGAGAGGGCGACCGGCCACAUUGGGACUGAGAUACGGCCCAGACUCCUACGGGAGGCAGCAGUGGGGAAUAUUGCACAAUGGGCGCAAGCCUGAUGCAGCGACGCCGCGUGCGGGAUGACGGCCUUCGGGUUGUAAACCGCUUUUGACUGGGAGCAAGCCCUUCGGGGUGAGUGUACCUUUCGAAUAAGCACCGGCUAACUACGUGCCAGCAGCCGCGGUAAUACGUAGGGUGCAAGCGUUAUCCGGAAUUAUUGGGCGUAAAGGGCUCGUAGGCGGUUCGUCGCGUCCGGUGUGAAAGUCCAUCGCUUAACGGUGGAUCCGCGCCGGGUACGGGCGGGCUUGAGUGCGGUAGGGGAGACUGGAAUUCCCGGUGUAACGGUGGAAUGUGUAGAUAUCACAA